UCCGAUGUUUAUCGCUGCAUGGAAACCAUUUCAGUAUUCACUGAGCUUUCUGACAGUAGGGACCUUUGAUUUUACAGAGGUUAGUGAAAUAGCCUAUACAAUAGAAACCCCCCAUAUAAUUAAAAGUAAACUAACUCAGUAUUAAUUUUUAACUUAGCCUGUCAUACAUCAGUGUCUGCUGCUUUUGGAGAAUUCCCCCUUUGAUGUUUGUUUUCUUUUUUUUAAUACAUACUUUUCAUUGAAGCUUCAAUUACCAAAUGCUUAAAUUUAGCAUUUUAAAAUAAAUGUUUUUUACUAUAGAUAAAUUCAUUACAUGUAUCGAUCUAAACAAGUGGAUUUCAAUUAUGGUCCUAAAAGGGAUGUCAUUAAGAACAAACUGUUUUUAUGAGACUUUAUAUUUUAAACUUUUGAAGGUCAGAGAUGCUGAAAGAGCAACUCCAGUAAAAGAGGAGCGUAAAGAAGCAGGUGUUGGUUCCCAUUUCAAAUCUUGAACCUAAAUAACAGGGGUUUGAAAAUGAUGCUACUCUUGUUCUUACUCUCCAAUUUAGAGGUGAUGAAAUCCCCCGGCCUGUGGAUUAUUUGACCAAGAUGCCACCUGACCUUACAUCCUCUGGCAGAUCCUGAUGGGAGUCGUUACAAAGAGGACGAUAUGGCUUUAUGGUGACUUUCCCUGACAUGCAAGGUUUUCAGAGACGUUUUCAGCAAGCCCAAGUUCAGAGAAAAGGUCCCCUUUGUAUGUCCAAACAGUGUUGUGAACUGGAGUGCAUUUUCCAGACAAUAUGGGCAAGAGCUCGGGGUGCCCUACUCGUUGACUUUGAAAUAUACAAGGACUGCCCACCUGGAUAUGUAGGUGAUGGCAGAAGGGGAGUUCUGAAUGGGUUUUAUUCCGACAAGGAGGUUCAGGGCUAUUGCUCAUUUGAUUGUUUUUUCAAUGAUGGAGGGGAACUUCAGGCUGUGUAGAUUGUGUGUGUACGGUUAAUGUACGUGAUUAUCUGUAUGUGUAUAUUAUGUCUUUUAAACAAUUAUUUUUGUUUUGAAAUAAAAGUUAUCACUGGUA
Molecule: non-coding RNA, 1057 nt
Organism: Paramisgurnus dabryanus
Lineage: Eukaryota; Metazoa; Chordata; Actinopteri; Cypriniformes; Cobitidae
Source: RefSeq, a predicted model, not a curated record